Molecule: ribosomal RNA, 484 nt
Filed under: uncultured bacterium
Lineage: Bacteria
Description: partial 16S ribosomal RNA
Rfam family: Bacterial small subunit ribosomal RNA
Source: RNAcentral
AUUGAACGCUGGCGGCAGGCCUAACACAUGCAAGUCGAGCGGAUGAAGGGAGCUUGCUCCUGGAUUCAGCGGCGGACGGGUGAGUAAUGCCUAGGAAUCUGCCUGGUAGUGGGGGAUAACGUCCGGAAACGGGCGCUAAUACCGCAUACGUCCUGAGGGAGAAAGUGGGGGAUCUUCGGACUUCACGCUAUCAGAUAACCCUAGGUCGGAUUAGCUAGUUGGUGGGGUAAAGGCCUACCAAGGCGACGAUCCGUAACUGGUCUGAGAGGAUGAUCAGUCACACUGGAACUGAGACACGGUCCAGACUCCUACGGGAGGCAGCAGUGGGGAAUAUUGGACAAUGGGCGAAAGCCUGAUCCAGCCAUGCCGCGUGUGUGAAGAAGGUCUUCGGAUUGUAAAGCACUUUAAGUUGGGAGGAAGGGCAGUAAGUUAAUACCUUGCUGUUUUGACGUUACCAACAGAAUAAGCACCGGCUAACUUCGUG